CGUANCAAAUACGUUCCUGACGACCGCCGAACGGGUGAGUAAUCCUUCGGAAUCUGCCUCGUAGUGGGGAAUAACUAGCCGAAAGGUUAGCUAAUGCCNCAUACGACCCCUUUUCUUAUCGGAAUUGGGUGAAAGCGGGGGAUCGCAAGACCUCGCGCUAUGAGAUGAGCCGAAGUCGGAUUAGCUAGUUGGUGAGGUAACGGCUCUCCAAGGCGACAAUCCGUAGCUGGUCUGAGAGGACGACCAGCCACACUGGGACUGAGACACGGCCCAGACUCCUACGGGAGGCAGUAGUGGGGAAUAUUGGACAAUGGGGGCAACCCUGAUCCAGCGACGCCGCGUGUGUGAAGAAGGCCUGCGGGUUGUAAAGCACUUUUAGUGGGGACAAAAAGCUCAGGGCUAAUACCCCUGGGUCUUGAUUUA
RNAcentral lists this ribosomal RNA (423 nucleotides) under uncultured eubacterium HRS-20. RNAcentral describes it as "bacterial SSU rRNA". It matches the Rfam family "Bacterial small subunit ribosomal RNA", at positions 75 to 476 of the family's 1533-position model. Lineage: Bacteria; Pseudomonadati; Myxococcota; Myxococcia; Myxococcales. The record is from RNAcentral.